Molecule: ribosomal RNA, 510 nt
Filed under: uncultured bacterium
Lineage: Bacteria
Description: partial 16S ribosomal RNA
Rfam family: Bacterial small subunit ribosomal RNA
Source: RNAcentral
GACGAACGCUGGCGGCGUGCUUAACACAUGCAAGUCGAACGAAGAGCGAUGGAUGCUUGCUUCUAUCAAUCUUAGUGGCGAACGGGUGAGUAACGCGUAAUCAACCUGCCCUUCAGAGGGGGACAACAGUCGGAAACGACUGCUAAUACCGCAUACGAUCUAAUCUCGGCAUCGAGGAUAGAUGAAAGGUGGCCUCUACAUGUAAGCUAUCACUGAAGGAGGGGAUUGCGUCUGAUUAGCUAGUUGGAGGGGUAACGGCCCACCAAGGCGAUGAUCAGUAGCCGGUCUGAGAGGAUGAACGGCCACAUUGGGACUGAGACACGGCCCAGACUCCUACGGGAGGCAGCAGUGGGGAAUCUUCCGCAAUGGACGAAAGUCUGACGGAGCAACGCCGCGUGAGUGAUGACGGCCUUCGGGUUGUAAAGCUCUGUUAAUCGGGACGAAAGGCCUUCUUGCGAAUAGUGAGAAGGAUUGACGGUACCGGAAUAGAAAGCCACGGCUAACUACGUG